RNAcentral lists this ribosomal RNA (1366 nucleotides) under Limosilactobacillus fermentum. RNAcentral describes it as "bacterial SSU rRNA". It matches the Rfam family "Bacterial small subunit ribosomal RNA", at positions 62 to 1417 of the family's 1533-position model. The record is from RNAcentral. Lineage: Bacteria; Bacillati; Bacillota; Bacilli; Lactobacillales; Lactobacillaceae.
UUGCACCUGAUUGAUUUUGGUCGCCAACGAGUGGCGGACGGGUGAGUAACACGUAGGUAACCUGCCCAGAAGCGGGGGACAACAUUUGGAAACAGAUGCUAAUACCGCAUAACAGCGUUGUUCGCAUGAACAACGCUUAAAAGAUGGCUUCUCGCUAUCACUUCUGGAUGGACCUGCGGUGCAUUAGCUUGUUGGUGGGGUAACGGCCUACCAAGGCGAUGAUGCAUAGCCGAGUUGAGAGACUGAUCGGCCACAAUGGGACUGAGACACGGCCCAUACUCCUACGGGAGGCAGCAGUAGGGAAUCUUCCACAAUGGGCGCAAGCCUGAUGGAGCAACACCGCGUGAGUGAAGAAGGGUUUCGGCUCGUAAAGCUCUGUUGUUAAAGAAGAACACGUAUGAGAGUAACUGUUCAUACGUUGACGGUAUUUAACCAGAAAGUCACGGCUAACUACGUGCCAGCAGCCGCGGUAAUACGUAGGUGGCAAGCGUUAUCCGGAUUUAUUGGGCGUAAAGAGAGUGCAGGCGGUUUUCUAAGUCUGAUGUGAAAGCCUUCGGCUUAACCGGAGAAGUGCAUCGGAAACUGGAUAACUUGAGUGCAGAAGAGGGUAGUGGAACUCCAUGUGUAGCGGUGGAAUGCGUAGAUAUAUGGAAGAACACCAGUGGCGAAGGCGGCUACCUGGUCUGCAACUGACGCUGAGACUCGAAAGCAUGGGUAGCGAACAGGAUUAGAUACCCUGGUAGUCCAUGCCGUAAACGAUGAGUGCUAGGUGUUGGAGGGUUUCCGCCCUUCAGUGCCGGAGCUAACGCAUUAAGCACUCCGCCUGGGGAGUACGACCGCAAGGUUGAAACUCAAAGGAAUUGACGGGGGCCCGCACAAGCGGUGGAGCAUGUGGUUUAAUUCGAAGCUACGCGAAGAACCUUACCAGGUCUUGACAUCUUGCGCCAACCCUAGAGAUAGGGCGUUUCCUUCGGGAACGCAAUGACAGGUGGUGCAUGGUCGUCGUCAGCUCGUGUCGUGAGAUGUUGGGUUAAGUCCCGCAACGAGCGCAACCCUUGUUACUAGUUGCCAGCAUUAAGUUGGGCACUCUAGUGAGACUGCCGGUGACAAACCGGAGGAAGGUGGGGACGACGUCAGAUCAUCAUGCCCCUUAUGACCUGGGCUACACACGUGCUACAAUGGACGGUACAACGAGUCGCGAACUCGCGAGGGCAAGCAAAUCUCUUAAAACCGUUCUCAGUUCGGACUGCAGGCUGCAACUCGCCUGCACGAAGUCGGAAUCGCUAGUAAUCGCGGAUCAGCAUGCCGCGGUGAAUACGUUCCCGGGCCUUGUACACACCGCCCGUCACACCAUGAGAGUUUGUAA